UCCGUCAUGGCGAAAUGGUAGCCGCGCCGCAUUUAAGCUGCCGUUCCUUCGGGAGUACAGGUUCGAGUCCUGUUGGCGGAG
Molecule: non-coding RNA, 81 nt
Organism: Vanrija pseudolonga
Lineage: Eukaryota; Fungi; Basidiomycota; Tremellomycetes; Trichosporonales; Trichosporonaceae
Source: the annotation of a RefSeq genome assembly